RNAcentral lists this long non-coding RNA (1414 nucleotides) under Ananas comosus (pineapple). Its description in RNAcentral is "long non-coding RNA (ACOM_LNC001005)". Lineage: Eukaryota; Viridiplantae; Streptophyta; Magnoliopsida; Poales; Bromeliaceae. The record is from RNAcentral.
UCGGCACGGCCGAUCUAUGGUGGCGACGGCGCGCGGACCUCAAUCCCGCCCGAGCCCGAUCUGGGCUGAUCGCGGAUGGCCGCAGGGGCCAGGGCGACGCCGGCGGUGCACGGGGAUGGCCGGGACCGGCGGGGAUGGCGUCGGGGAUCCAACCACGGCCGGGGAAGAGCGGCCCGAGGCUGUGGGUGCCUUCCAAAAGCCAAAGGUCAGGAGGGUGGAGAAUCAGUUGAGAGAGAAUGAAGGAGAGGUGGCCGGGUUCCAGUUUUCCGGCGGCUGGGGCACCUGCCGGCGGCCGGGGUGCGCGCAUGGGUUGGACAGGGACCUGCUGAAGGUAGUUAGGGCACAGCUGGGGGACAAGGUCGGCCAGAUCUAGGGUUUCGUGCAAAGAAACCCUAGAUGCAAUUUAUAUACAAGUGGACUUUUGCAGAUAACCCCUCCGACACAAAACAUUUAAACCUCAGCCCCUGUCAGGGAGUGCAAUAUGCGCGUAAGCACCUCGACGUUCAAAAUCACGCGAAACAACGCAUGAAAUAUUAGGGUUUUCACGAAGUUUCCGAUUUUGCCCAUUCAACCCCUCAGCGAACAUCUCGCAAUUUCAGAAGAUCCGUCCGUCGGAUUUCCGAUCGGAUCGCACCAGCGCGUUCAGCAUGACUGGGGAACUGAAUCUAGUUUGUUUCGUCUAAUAUGUUUGUCGAUUUGCGACGAAACCUACCCUCAUCGCUUCCACCAUAAAACACAUAUAUAGACCAUAUAUAUGUAAAUCCACUCAAACCCCUUUUUCUCGAAAAUCAUGCAUCAGAACCCAAUUCCGUCAGUGCCAUUGGGUCCGGAAUAGUGGAACCGGUCGAAACGAGCUAUUGGACAGCUAUGAACGGAGUCCGAUACGGGCCGAAAGCCAACUCUACUCCGCGGCUUCUCCGAAAAAUCGGGUUACUAUUCACUUUAAGUGAAAACUAAUAAUCGUGUAACUUCUCCGUUCCAACUUAUUUUUUACUGAAACUUGACGAGUGCUUAUAUAAUUAAAUUACACACAAAAACAUCGUCAACAGAGAGUUUAGUUGCACUGUCAAAAUCUCAGUCCUUACACUUUGAUACUGUCAAAACAUCUUCCAUCUCACGGACAACCGUAGAAUAUUGAAAAUUGAUUUUGUAAGGAUGUAUAGUGGUCCUGUAGGAGCCGCUGCUCUGCCCCACUCCAAACUGGUUGAUCAUAUAAACUUUUCCUUCCGUAAAAAGGACUUUAAAUUUGUUCAGGAAAGCUUUUCUUACCGUUCCAUGUAUCCUAUCUCCCUAAAAUAGAAAAUAAACAAAUUAUAUAGUAUCUUUUAGUAAAAACAAAGCAAACGUAUGUUCAAUUUGAAAAUGAAAGUCGUAUCUUACAUUUUGAUCAGAAAGAACUAACUCUAGACUAUUC